AACGUAGGACGCAAGCGUUAUCCGGAGUUACUGGGCGUAAAGCGCGUGCAGGCGGCUCGAUGCGUCUGAUGUGAAAUCUCCUCGCUCAACGGGGAGAGGCCAUUGGAAACGGUCGGGCUGGAGGGCAGUAGAGGCAGGCGGAAUUCCGGGUGGAGUGGUGAAAUGCGUAGAGAUCCGUAGGAACACCAGAGGCGAAGGCGGCCUGCUGGGCUGCACCUGACGCUGAACCGCGAAAGCCAGGGGAGCGAACGGG
Molecule: ribosomal RNA, 253 nt
Filed under: uncultured bacterium
Lineage: Bacteria
Description: partial 16S ribosomal RNA
Rfam family: Bacterial small subunit ribosomal RNA
Source: RNAcentral